This 326-nucleotide ribosomal RNA is filed under the name uncultured archaeon. RNAcentral's name for it is "bacterial SSU rRNA". It matches the Rfam family "Archaeal small subunit ribosomal RNA", at positions 691 to 1016 of the family's 1478-position model. The record is from RNAcentral.
CCGACGGUGAGAGGCGAAAGCUGGGGGCACGAACCGGAUUAGAUACCCGGGUAGUCCCAGCCGUAAACGAUGCUCGCUAGGUGUCAGGCAUGGCGCGACCGUGUCUGGUGCCGCAGGGAAGCCGUGAAGCGAGCCACCUGGGAAGUACGGCCGCAAGGCUGAAACUUAAAGGAAUUGGCGGGGGAGCACAACAACGGGUGGAGCCUGCGGUUUAAUUGGACUCAACGCCGGACAACUCACCGGGGGCGACAGCAAUAUGUAGGCCAAGCUGAAGACUUUGCCUGAAUCGCUGAGAGGAGGUGCAUGGCCGUCGCCAGUUCGUACUG